RNAcentral lists this unclassified non-coding RNA (437 nucleotides) under Utricularia dichotoma. RNAcentral describes it as "partial external transcribed spacer". The stretch from base 387 to 437 matches the Rfam family "Eukaryotic small subunit ribosomal RNA", at positions 1 to 51 of the family's 1831-position model. The record is from RNAcentral. Lineage: Eukaryota; Viridiplantae; Streptophyta; Magnoliopsida; Lamiales; Lentibulariaceae. RNAcentral also lists the same sequence under 1 other name.
CUAUGCUCGGUGGAGGUAUUCUUAUCCCCUGGUCGGAUUUCGUUGCUUGUGCCCCGUACCUCAGUGUCGGCAUCAGCAUUGUCCCAAAGAACGGCCAGUUGUCCCAGUUUUCGUGUCUUGGUGCUCAUGUGACCUUGUCACGGGGUUGGCUUGGAAACAUCGAUAGCGCUCGCUCAUCGACUACUAACGUUGUCGUGGGCGUGGCGUCAUCGAUGUUGGAUCUCUCGUGCGCGGAAAGCCCAUCGGCGCGGUGGUUCCCUGAACCCCGCUAAAUAGACCCUCGGUGAAAAGUCGUCCGAUGCAAUCUUGAACGACCAUCGUGCCAGCGAAUGUGCUUUCCUCCGAGAGGGGGCAGCGCACGCUGUGCCGAUGUUGUACGGGAACGCUACCUGGUUGAUCCUGCCAGUAGUCAUAUGCUUGUCUCAAAGAUUAAGCCA